GCGCUUCUCCCGCCGCAACCACUCCCAACCCUGUGGGUUGGGUCGCUUUGCGCAAGUGUCGGAAGCGGAAGUUGUUAAGACGUGGGGGAGUUCUUGGGAGAGAGUCGAGUUUUCCUAGCGCUCGGUGUGUUCGGUCUGCGGCAGCCUGAGCAGCAGGUAAAGCGCAUUUGUGAGACCUCGGCAGCCCUGCUACCCGGCCCAAGCCGGAUCCCGACCCCGUAUCCUAGCCUGAGGGGUGUGGUGCCCGGUGCUCCGACUCCUUCCUAGGGUCCUGGUGGAGGUACCGGGAGUCACUUGUUCCUCCCUUGGAGUGAGGCCCCCUGUCCGGCUACCUCCGCCAUGGGCAACACGAGCAGCGAGCGCGCUGCGCUGGACCGGCAGGGCGGCCACAAGACGCCCCGAGGGGACAGCUCGGGGGGCUCCAAGGAUGGGGACAGGCCCAAGAUCCUGAUGGACAGCCCCGAGGACGCUGACCUCUUCCACUCCGAGGAAAUCAAGGCUCCGGAGAAGGAGGAGUUCCUGGCCUGGCAGCACGAUCUGGAAGUGAACGACAAAGCUCCUGCCCAGGCUCGGCCAACUGUGUUUCGAUGGACGGGGGGCGGAAAGGAAGUUUACUUAUCUGGGUCCUUCAACAAUUGGAGUAAACUUCCCCUCACGAGAAGCCACAAUAACUUUGUAGCCAUCCUGGACCUGCCGGAAGGAGAGCAUCAGUACAAGUUCUUCGUGGAUGGUCAGUGGACACACGACCCUUCUGAGCCGAUAGUGACCAGCCAGCUUGGCACAGUAAACAACAUCAUUCAAGUGAAGAAAACUGACUUUGAAGUAUUUGAUGCUUUAAUGGUGGAUUCCCAAAAGUGCUCCGACGUGUCUGAGCUGUCCAGUUCCCCACCAGGACCCUACCAUCAGGAGCCUUACGUCUGGAAACCAGAGGAGCGGUUUAAAGCACCACCCAUCCUCCCGCCACAUCUUCUCCAGGUCAUCCUGAACAAGGACACAGGGAUUUCUUGUGAUCCAGCUUUGCUCCCUGAGCCCAACCACGUCAUGCUGAACCACCUCUAUGCACUUUCCAUUAAGGUUUCAAUAAAGCUUUGUAAAGAUAACAGACGUGCGCUUGGAGGAAGGUUUGAUUUCGUGCAGUCAUUUGGAGAAGAGACUGGAGCUCUCCCCGAGCUUUAUUCAGUGCAGUGCUUUUCCGUCUUUUUCCCGCCUUGGCACACAUUGAAAAUGGUACCAUCCUUGUGGCACUCUGGGCAACACAAAAGGAAGUCCCCCGUGGUCCAGAAGACUGCUAACAGACCUAGGUGAAAGUCUCUAUACCCAAGAAGCUAAAAGUAAUGGAGAUUAUUUCAUGGAUAUGGAACAGGAGACCCUGUUUGGUCCAAAUCACAGGAGCAAAGCCACACUGAGGUGUCCUAUGACCCAGGAAAGCCUAGACUGGGGUGUGCAGGAGCACGAGGCCUCGCCUUCCUGCCGUGAGCCGAGCUUGCGGAACUCACCGCAGAGUCCCCAACACUACGUAAGUACUUCUGUUAUGCACCCCAUUUUAUCCAUAAAUCAGAGGAAAUAAGGAAAAGCAUUUAAACGGCUUUUCCCCCCUCCUUGUAGCAGCAGGGGUGCCAACAGCGAACUGCGGAUGGCAGCAGGACUACUGUUACGCACCCCAUUUUAUCCAUAAAUCAGAGGAGAUAAGGAAAAGCAUUUAAACGGCUUUUCCCCCCUCCCUGUAGCGGCAGGGGUGCCAACAGUGAGCUGCGGAUGGCAGCAGGAGAGUGCAAUCCAGAAAACUGGCCCCUGGAACCGGCUGGCCUGCUGAGGAGACACCAUGCUCUGGAGCCUCCCUGUGCACUUGGGGGGCCCCUAGUCUUCCGCACAUCCCUCCAUCUUCUCAGUUGCUAACCUAAAAAUUACAAGGUAAUAAAUACAUGCACGUGAUUUAAAAAUUUUGAAAGGUUUGGAGUUCUUCUAGAAGGCAACCACUGUUACCAGUUCGGUGUAGCCUUCCAGAGAAACUGUUGAUGUAUAUGUGUUUGAAAAAGUAAGGCAUCAAACCUUUUGAAUAGCAUGUUAUCAUAUCACCUGUGUUUAAGAAGGGUGACUACACAUCUGUAUUUGUUUGUAUGCAGAGAGGCUCUCUAGAAACUGCGCGCUGGCUGCCUCCGGAAAGGGAACGCCAUAGCCCUGGCAGCUGUUACGGUUUGAGGCGCACACAUUAUCCAUCUGUGCAGCAGGAAGCCCCUUCUUAAGACGUUCUCUUCCUAAGCUUAAGUCCCGCAGACUCCGAAGUACAGUAGCGGCGCCCCUUCCCUACAACAGUGGCCCCUCGGGGAUGAGGAGGGCACCUCACUCACCUUGUUGACCUGGGACAGCGGGGUCCUCACGGCUCCCACGGGCAGCCGGCCCCUGCUGCCGUCCUCAAACAGCCUCCCAGGGGAGCGCUCCCUGCGCGUGCUGAGCAUCCGGCCGGGGGACUUCUCCCGCUCCAGGGGGCGGCCCGGAGACUUGUCCCUGCGCAGCUCUGUCCGCCCCUCGCGGUAGCGGUGGGGCGUGCCGGGCUCUCGCGGGUGGCUGGGGCCUUCAGGGGGCGCCGGGCUGGAGGCCACGCGCUUAGUGAUGUGCUCGUUGUACGUCGGCGGGCCUCGCUUGUUGGGGCUGCGAUAAUGGGAGAGGAAGGUGGGGAGCUGAGCCGUCACAACCCAACGGGGCAGCUUCCUCCUCCUCUGAGCCACCCUGUGCCCCCAUCUCACCACGCGUUAUUAGAAGAAGACCCCACCGGGAAUUCUUCGAGACGCUUAUAUCGACAGUGAAGCCAGGGAAAGAAGGCAGCGGUGACAGCAGAGGGGAAUCAGGCUGCCCGGUCUCGACACAGGCUUUCUGCUGAGCGCCCACAGCGUGUCGGGCCCUGUGCUAAGCUCUUCAGGUACCUUAACUCGCCAGAUCACCCUAACAGCAGCUCUGCAAGCUAGGAACGGCCGUGACCCCCGUCGUACAGACAAGCAGCUGGAGACACAGAGAGGCUGCGAUCCCAGUGCAGGUCAGUGCGACGUCGUACUCCCCAUGUUCUAACCCCGCUGACCCUAGUAUUUUCCAGAGCCUAGAGGACGCAGAAGGAAGUCUUCCGUGAGGGGUUAAGCCUGUACUCAUCGCUGUCAAGCUGCCAAAGCUGCCCCACUCCUGGGCCUUUGUUGGGUCACCUCUCCUUCCAAGUGUCUUUCCAGGAGUCUUUGGGGCAUCCGACACCGGAGGUGUAGGGAUCGGGCCUGAUAUAAUUAGGAGACUGAGGAGGGCAGACGAAAACAGUAGAGCUGGCUCAGAAAAUGUCUGAACAAUUUGUAUGACCACUCUAACCCUCCACCCUGGGUAUGUCAGAUGAAGAUCUGACCAGACACGGCCCUAACCACCUCUCUGAAGCAGCAAGAUCCAGAAACACGGACUGACAGCCUUCGGCGUCGGUUCCUUCCCACCCCUGACGAGCAGCCAAGCUCAAAAUGUGGAAAUUCCAACAACCCACGCUCAGAAAGCCAGAACUUUCUUGUGUGUGCAGCAGUAAAAUUUGAGAUAAACCUUGAUUUCAAGAUGUCGAAAUCUGAGCUAUCUUCAUCUCUUGUCCUGUGGCUUUGUGAUAUAGAAGACAAUAAAAGAAAUUUCCAGUAAGAGUAUCUGAUUUGUAAUGGAAGAGAAAUUAUAAAGCAUGUCAGGGGCCCAUCGUAAAGCAAGCUCACUGCCCAGAGGAAGAAAAGUGGCUCAAGGAAGGCCAUUCGAGAAGUCAGCCUAGGUUGAUGGGCUAAAGGAAGACACUCGUCAUUCUGGGCGGAGCAGGCCAUUUUCCAUCUCCAAAUCCCUUAAUAACCAAUGCUCUACUUGCAAAAAGAGUUACAUUUCCUGCUCUGCUAAACAGACCUGGGGGCAGUGCAGCCUGCAGUGAAUCACAUUCUCCCAAGCUGGCCUUCUCCAUUCUGGACCUGUCCAAAGCAGACAGCAGCAAAAAGACGGUUUUAUAAGCCGAGAGGCAACUAAAGGAAACUGCUGGUUCUCCAGACAUGCCCGGCAGCAGCAGGAACAGCAGCAGCAUUAUUUCUGCCCCUCGUUCACAGGAACUAGAACCAUUUUCCACGACAGAGGAAGUUAACUCCUUACAGAGACACCAUAUCAUCUCAAAAGGAAGGUGCCUGGCCAUCUAACUAACUAACUAGUGAGGCAGUGGAGAAAAGAAGAAAAAUCUAAUUACAGUACUUGGGUUGGCUCUUGGCAUGAAUGACUUGGAAACUAAAUAAAAUCUAGACAUUGUCAGGAGAGGACUACAGCCCUUUGAGCAGUCUCUCCUGAGGCACGAUCAAGCCACAAAGAGUGAGAAGCAGCUGCUUAUUCAGCACUUCUGGUUUUCCAGCAAGUUCCUGGGACUAAAAUCACACUGACCAAACAUUUCUGACCAACAGUUACAUUUCAACAAAAGAAACAGACACUAGUCGUCAGGACAUAGUCUCAGAACAUUAAAUUGACGACUCUCUUUCUUUUCUAAGAUCUAAGCAGCAUUUCAUAACAUUAAAGGUGGUUCCUCCACCAAACUGAGUCCCUUGAGAAUAAAAACCAUCUUGUCUUCAGCUGUGUAGCCCCAGACAUUGUGUCUGGCACAUGGUAGGGGGUCCACAUAACUCUCUAUAAUAGGGUAGACAUGUGGGGUUUGUAAACCAGCCCACAAAAUUAAAACCCUAGGUCAAUUCCCCUGGGUUAAAUAAGCUUAUCUCCUUUGUGGACCAGGAUCUUAAAAUUACACAUCUCAAACCUACACAUCGAACCGAAUCUGGCUCCGAGCCCUGGGUGUCAAGACAAAGCCAGUUCCACUUCCACACACUGCUGGUGGGAUAACUAAAGGGUACAGCCCCUAAGGAGGAAAACUCACCAACAUCUAUCAAAACUACCAAUGCCCAUCAAUUUCUUUUCUAGGAAUUCAUCCUCCAGGUAGAUUCCUAAGCAUGCAAAAUGAAUGUACAAAGUCAUUUACUACAGCAACAGACUGGAAACAACCCAAACAUCCAGUGAUAAAGGAGCAGUUAAAUAAGGUACAGGCAGGUGAACGAAUGCUAUGCAGGUGUAAAAAAAAAGAAUGAAGAAAUACUUCGGAUACUGACAUGGAGCAAUCUCUCUCUAAGACACAGAAGAGUGUGCACAGUAUGCUAUCGCCUGUAUUGAGAAGGGGAAGAGCACUUCCAGAAUGGCCGAGCAAGGACUCCCGAAAACCUGUUUCUCCAUAGAAACAACAAGAACACUGGCAAAAUUGUCAAAAUCAACUUUUUGGAACUCUGGAAAUUAACCAAAGUCUUGCAACAAUUCAGAGAGUGUUUAUGCAAGAAAAUGUGCAAUAUUCACCACCCCUGUCUCCCCAGAUCUGCAGUAGUUUUGAAAGCAACAGCCUUGUAACCAGCUGUGAAAACCAGCACCCUGGUGACCACUGGAGGGAGUACAUUAGGACUGGAGCUUCCCAAAAGCCCCAGCCUUGGAAAACUGUCACUAUCUGACUUAUCUGGCUCCUCCCUGGAAAAAGACUAUCCUCAGGGCUUGUUUUUAAUUGAGCUGAUUCAGGUCUUCCUCUCUAGAAAUGCCCUAUCUGUAGACGUUUACCAAAAAAAAAAAAAAACAAAAACAA
RNA transcript from Globicephala melas (long-finned pilot whale), 5641 nucleotides. It is a transcript of the gene named protein kinase AMP-activated non-catalytic subunit beta 1, with no coding region annotated. The record is from RefSeq and is a predicted model, not a curated record. NCBI's taxonomy places the organism in Eukaryota, Metazoa, Chordata, Mammalia, Artiodactyla, Delphinidae.